RNAcentral lists this ribosomal RNA (466 nucleotides) under uncultured bacterium. RNAcentral's name for it is "partial 16S ribosomal RNA". It matches the Rfam family "Bacterial small subunit ribosomal RNA", at positions 28 to 507 of the family's 1533-position model. The record is from RNAcentral.
GAUGAACGCUGGCGGCGUGCUUAACACAUGCAAGUCGAACGGAAAGGCCCAAGCUUGCUUGGGUACUCGAGUGGCGAACGGGUGAGUAACACGUGGGUGAUCUGCCCUGCACUUCGUGAUAAGCCUGGGAAACUGGGUCUAAUACCGGAUAGGACCACAUUUUGGAUGGUGUGGUGGAAAGUUUUUCGGUGUGGGAUGAGCUCGCGGCCUAUCAGCUUGUUGGUGGGGUAAUGGCCUACCAAGGCGUCGACGGGUAGCCGGCCUGAGAGGGUGUACGGCCACAUUGGGACUGAGAUACGGCCCAGACUCCUACGGGAGGCAGCAGUGGGGAAUAUUGCACAAUGGGCGCAAGCCGGAUGCAGCGACGCCGCGUGGGGGAUGACGGCCUUCGGGUUGUAAACUCCUUUCGCUAGGGACGAAGCGUUAUGUGACGGUACCUGGAGAAGAAGCACCGGCUAACUACGUG